This is a long non-coding RNA of Parus major (Great Tit), 3046 nucleotides long. RefSeq lists it as uncharacterized. The record is from RefSeq and is a predicted model, not a curated record. The transcript has 3 exons. NCBI's taxonomy places the organism in Eukaryota, Metazoa, Chordata, Aves, Passeriformes, Paridae.
CCUCUUCCUACACACUGUCUCUGCUUUGCCUACUCUACUCCUGUUGCUGGGGCAGGAAACAACUUUUUUGUGAGGAGAAAAUUAGUGGUCCUUUGCUGCCCAUUGAACACAGCCCAGACCUUUGAGAAUAUUCCGUUUCCCAAGAUGAAGAAAAAUAAUCGUUCCAAUGUGUAUUUGAGAUUCUGCUGUCAGAGGCUUUUCUGCUUUCACUCAGGCUCAGUCCUGAGAUGGCUGUUAACUUCAGUAAAGAUCUCUAAGUGCAUGAACUGUCCUGUGUGUCCAGCAGCAACUGCUGAUCAUCAUUCUAUCUGCAGAGACUACUGAGCAGCACUUAAUCGAGCUGAUGGAAAUUCUUUGCAAGAUAGAGCCCUGACUUCAUAGGUGUUAUGGUGAUGUGUCUGUAUCAGCAGUGUGAUGGUAUGAAGAGAUUCCACUGCAACCAGCUUGUCAUUUCAUGAAGAGUUAACAAAUGCAGAUAUGUAGUUCUCCCUGAGAGACACAUGUGAACAGCAUUCACUUCACCAAUUUCAGAUAAAAUGGUUUAUUCUUUGCUUAUCUCAGCUUAUCCCCCUGAGUAUCACAGACCCUACUGUUUGAAUCCAAGUUAUACUCUGGAACAACAGGCAAUAUUUUCAAUUGAUUGUGCAAUAAACUCAGCAAUACAGAUGUUUCAGACAAAAUGUAGCUCCUGAAGGACAACACUCCACAAAAGGAUUAAAAAAGGUCUGUAACCACCAUGCAGGGUGAGGUUUUCCAGAGUUCAAAGAACCACCCUAGGAGAGGUGGCCCAUCCUGGCUAACACAACCCCUAGCAAUGAUAUGUAGUACCUGUAAUAACCAGGUAUCAACUGAGAUUAGCCUUUCAGGUGAGAAGACCUUUAGCAUAGAUUGGAGCAAAGCUUUUGGGACCACAGCCAGAUACUUUGUGCCUCUGUCACAGAGCAUGAGGUCUUUAAUUUAGUCUGAGUGGUGGGUGGAAAUGCUUACACAGCAGCUUCAGGAAAAGGAGGUGGAAGAGGCACAACAAACAGUUAUAGCCUUCUGGUAAAGAUGCCUGCCUGCCAGGACAAAUAGAAGGGUAUGAAUUCUUUUUGGGAUAAGAUGCAAAUUGGCUCAGGUAGAAUAACUGUAGUAUAGUGGAUAGGUCACUUCUGGUUUGUUUGGGACUAUUUCACAAAGUCAGGGCCUAAGUUUCCACUAGCUUGAAGGGGAUCCAUCCCUUUGAACACUAAAUUAACUUCCUAAACCACAAAAUGCAAUUCUCCAAACUCCAUGCUAGUUCCUGUGCAUCAGGGAGGUGCAUAACUCUCUUUUCUGUCUGAUGUUCAGAAGCAUCUCUGACAUUCACUGUUCUGCUAAGCCACCACAUUGAGCUCUGCUGCUGCCAGGUACCAGAAAUUUGUCUGGUGCUUGCACUUUGACAGAAGUGAAACAUCUGAUGAUGUGCAAGAACCCAGUUCACCUGCCUGCUGAAAAUUCAGCAAACUGAAGGCUCUGCACAAAACACAGGAUCUGUAAAUCCUCCCAUGCAAUCAGCUACCCCUGUAAUUGCAGUGGGAAAGAUACAUCCUCAGUGACACAUGUGAGGGGAAACAAACUGCACAGCUGCUGCAAGCUCCAGAGGCAGGAGAGGAAAAUGGUAGUAAGGAGAGCACCUGUUUAGUUUUCCGUGUAAAUCUGUCCUGGAUGGAGCCCUUGCCCUGUGCUGCAAACUGUGAAAUUGGAUCCCAAGAGGGUUCAAAGUGUGUUGGCUCAGCUGCUCUGUCCAGCAGGCUGGAAUCUAUUUUGGUACAGGGAGGCUGAGGAUCAGCAGCCUCUUUCCUCCUCUCUUUUCAGAACUCUCCUGCUUCAUACUCCUUAGGUCAGAGAGAAAUAACAACUCUUACUCUGCUCCCAGUAAUUUGUGUGCUUUCAUAGGAAGAGGGAGAUCUGUUGCUCCAAAAUCAAUUUCAGCUUUUUUUGCACAAAAACACAGAAAAACUAUUUGCAGAAAAGAAAGAAUACCUUUUAAACCAUGAACUGAAAUGCGGGGAUUCCACCAAACCAGAGGCUGCUUACUCUAGUGUGCUCCUUCCCUCUCUUGAGCCAUAGAGAGACUGUGAUGUUGUGCUGGUUUCCUUUUCCUGGGAUAAUAGGGUUUUGUGCUCACCCAAAAUGGUGCAAAUGCUACCCUGGUCAGCUAAGUCAUUAUUCAUAAAAUGUACCUAAAGCAGAUGUUUCUUUUUUUUUAGUUUUAAAGGGCAGAAUUUGAGCUCCUGAACUUUGUUUUAAUUUUUCACAAUGAGUAAUUAAGACUUUUACCUGCUGUUCAGUACUUUUAUGGACUAAAUAAACAGCUGGUUUAAAUCAUCACUGUUCUGUUAAGCCUGGCAGAAUGAUGCCAGUGUAAACCACUGAACAACUUGGCCCCAUUUGACUUUUUCAAGUAUUCAGAAAAUAUUUAUUGCACUUGCUGAAAUAUAAAUUAACAAGAGACAUGGCGCAUAUCCUUGAGGAAUCUACCUAUAACAAAUCAGGUUCAUAAACAAGUGAGAUGUGGAGCAGCACAGAAAAUUUGUCAGGAAACAGAUUUUAUUCCAAGCUGACAACUGCUCAUAUGGAAAACUGUAGAAAAUAUCACUGCAAAAAAUAUAUAUACUAUACCAGGUGCAUGGAUACUUUAGUAAGUACCCUUGAUGGAAUAAUAUGAACAUGCUCAUACAUGGCACAGGAAACCAUUUGGAUUUGCAAAGAUCCUUUCUGCAGGAAUAAUCACCAAAGGAAAUGUACACAUGCAGAAGGUUUCUGCAGCAGGAAUGAUAAAUUCUAGAACAUUUCAGCUUUUCAGGUUGCUUUGCUUAUAGCAAGGCAUUCCCUUCCAGCCAGCCAAAAGCAGCAGCAGCUGUGCAUGGCAAGAGGGAAGCUUGGGCUGUGGGGCACAAUCCACUUUAGUACCCAGGCCAUGAAUGUCCAGACCCAUUGUGCUGUCAUGUGCUUACUGUAACUGGUUUGUUUAAUAAACAUUCACUCUAAGUAAAAAUUAGAGCUUGCUAAAACAGAGACUGAA